CAACGCCGCGUGGAGGAAUCGAAGGUCCCUUGGGACGUAAACUCCUUUCGAUCGGGAAGAUAAUGACGGUACCGGAAGAAGAAGCCCCGGCUAACUUCGUGC
RNAcentral lists this ribosomal RNA (102 nucleotides) under uncultured bacterium. Its description in RNAcentral is "partial 16S ribosomal RNA". It matches the Rfam family "Bacterial small subunit ribosomal RNA", at positions 392 to 508 of the family's 1533-position model. The record is from RNAcentral.